GAUGAAGAACGCAGCGAAAUGCGAUACGUAAUGUGAAUUGCAGAAUUCAGUGAAUCAUCGAAUCUUUGAACGCAUAUUGCGCUCUCUGGUAUUCCGGAGAGCAUGCUUGUUUGAGUAUCAGUAAACACCUCAACUUCCAUAUCUUUUUUGAAAUGGGAGUUGGACUUGAGUGAUCCCAACGCUUUUCCUCACCGAAAAGUGGCGGGUUGCUUGAAAUGCAGGUGCAGCUGGACUUUUCUCUGAGCUAUAAGCAUAUCUAUUUAGUCUGCCUAAAAAACAGAUUAUUACCUUUGCUGCAGCUAACAUAAAGGAGAUUAGUUCUUGUGCUGACUGAUGCAGGAUUCACAAAGACGGCUUCGGCCGACUUUGUAAACUCGAUCUCAAAUCAAGUAAGACUACCCGCUGAACUUAAGCAUAUCAAUAAGCGGAGGA
Molecule: unclassified non-coding RNA, 432 nt
Filed under: soil metagenome
Description: partial contains 5.8S ribosomal RNA, internal transcribed spacer 2, and large subunit ribosomal RNA
Rfam family: 5.8S ribosomal RNA (bases 1-120)
Source: RNAcentral